UCCUCUUUUUUGAUAUCACUGGCCCUUGGAUUGUAUAAAUAAUUGUCAUCAGAAUCCUCACGAGAUGCUGCUUUUAGCAACUGAUUACUUCCUAUGUCAACAUCUCCUAAGGAAUUAAAACAUGCACAUUCAACAUUUGUAUUAGCCAUGUCAAGUUCAUAUCUUUGUGCAACAUCUUCUGCUCUCUUUACUAACUCUGAAACCCAAUUUGUUGAAAACAAACAUUUCAGGUCUAGGUUUCC
This 242-nucleotide unclassified non-coding RNA is filed under the name Hevea brasiliensis (rubber tree). Lineage: Eukaryota; Viridiplantae; Streptophyta; Magnoliopsida; Malpighiales; Euphorbiaceae. The record is from RNAcentral.